GUGUCAGCAGCCGCGGUAAGACGGAGGGUGCUAGCGUUGUUCGGAAUUACUGGGCGUAAAGGGCGCGUAGGCGGCCGCUUAAGUCGGGUGUGAAAGCCCGGGGCUCAACCCCGGAACUGCAUCCGAGACUGGGUGGCUGGAGACCGGGAGAGGAGAGUGGAAUACCCAGUGUAGAGGUGAAAUUCGUAGAUAUUGGGUGGAACACCGGUGGCGAAAGCGGCUCUCUGGCCCGGUUCUGACGCUGAGGCGCGAAAGCGUGGGGAGCAAACAGGAUUAGAAACCCCAGUAGUCC
RNAcentral lists this ribosomal RNA (292 nucleotides) under uncultured bacterium. Its description in RNAcentral is "partial 16S ribosomal RNA". It matches the Rfam family "Bacterial small subunit ribosomal RNA", at positions 505 to 796 of the family's 1533-position model. The record is from RNAcentral.